GAGCGGACAGAUGGGAGCUUACCACUUACAGAUGGACCCGCGGCGCAUUAGCUAGUUGGUGAGGUAACGGCUCACCAAGGCAACGAUGCGUAGCCGACCUGAGAGGGUGAUCGGCCACACUGGGACUGAGACACGGCCCAGACUCCUACGGGAGGCAGCAGUAGGGAAUCUUCCGCAAUGGACGAAAGUCUGACGGAGCAACGCCGCGUGAGUGAUGAAGGUUUUCGGAUCGUAAAGCUCUGUUGUUAGGGAAGAACAAGUACCGUUCGAAUAGGGCGGUACCUUGACGGUACCUAACCAGAAAGCCACGGCUAACUACGUGCCAGCAGCCGCGGUAAUACGUAGGUGGCAAGCGUUGUCCGGAAUUAUUGGGCGUAAAGGGCUCGCAGGCGGUUUCUUAAGUCUGAUGUGAAAGCCCCCGGCUCAACCGGGGAG
RNAcentral lists this ribosomal RNA (435 nucleotides) under uncultured Bacillus sp. RNAcentral's name for it is "bacterial SSU rRNA". It matches the Rfam family "Bacterial small subunit ribosomal RNA", at positions 194 to 620 of the family's 1533-position model. The record is from RNAcentral. Lineage: Bacteria; Bacillati; Bacillota; Bacilli; Caryophanales; Bacillaceae.